CCUACGGGAGGCAGCAGUGGGGAAUAUUGCACAAUGGGGGAAACCCUGAUGCAGCGACGCCGCGUGAGUGAAGAAGUAUUUCGGUAUGUAAAGCUCUAUCAGCAGGAACGAGACAAGACGGUACCUGACUAAGAAGCCCCGGCUAACUACGUGCCAGCAGCCGCGGUAAUCCGUAGGGGGCAAGCGUUAUCCGGAAUCACUGGGUGUAAAGGGAGCGUAGACGGCUGGGCAAGCCUGAAGUGAAAGGCGGGGGCCCAACCCCCGGACUGCUUUGGGAACUGUACGGCUGGAGUGCAGGAGAGGUAAGUGGAAUUCCUGGUGUAGCGGUGAAAUGCGUAGAUAUUAGGAGGAACACCAGUGGCGAAGGCGGCUUACUGGACUGUAACUGACGUUGAGGCUCGAAAGCGUGGGGAGCAAACAGGAUUAGAUACCCCUGUAGUC
Molecule: ribosomal RNA, 441 nt
Filed under: uncultured bacterium
Lineage: Bacteria
Description: partial 16S ribosomal RNA
Rfam family: Bacterial small subunit ribosomal RNA
Source: RNAcentral